GUGGGGAAUUUUGGACAAUGGGCGCAAGCCUGAUCCAGCAAUGCCGCGUGCAGGAAGAAGGCCUUCGGGUUGUAAACUGCUUUUGUACGGAACGAAACGGUCCGGGUUAAUACCCUGGGCUAAUGACGGUACCGUAAGAAUAAGCACCGGCUAACUACGUGCCAGCAGCCGCGGUAAUACGUAGGGUGCAAGCGUUAAUCGGAAUUACUGGGCGUAAAGCGUGCGCAGGCGGUUUUGUAAGACAGGCGUGAAAUCACCGGGCUCAACCUGGGAAUUUCGCUUGUGACUGCAAGGCUGGAGUGCGGCAGGGGGGGAUGGAAUUCCGCGUGUAGCAGUUAAAUGCGUAGGUAUGCGGAGGAACACCGAUGGCGAAGGCAAUCCCCUGGGCCUGCACUGACGCUCAUGCACGAAAGCGUGGGGAGCAAACAGGAUUAGAUACCCUUGUAGUCC
Molecule: ribosomal RNA, 450 nt
Filed under: uncultured bacterium
Lineage: Bacteria
Description: partial 16S ribosomal RNA
Rfam family: Bacterial small subunit ribosomal RNA
Source: RNAcentral